GUGCUUGCUUCACCAGCACAUAUACUAAAAUUGGAACAAUACAGAAGUUCACUUCACCAGCACAUAUACUAAAAUUGGAACAAUACAGAAGAUUAGCAUGACCCCUUUUAUAAGUUUAAAAAAAAAGAAAGAGAAAUGAAAGCCUCCCUC
Molecule: small nuclear RNA, 150 nt
Filed under: Pongo abelii (Sumatran orangutan)
Lineage: Eukaryota; Metazoa; Chordata; Mammalia; Primates; Hominidae
Source: RNAcentral